CUUCUUAGUCGUGUGUACAUCAUUGGGAAUGGAGGGAAAUAAAUGACUGGAUGGUCGCUGCUUUUUAAGUUUCAAAUUGACAUUCCAGACAAGCGGUGCCUGAGCCCGUGCCUGUCUUCAGAUCUUCACAGCACAGUUCCUGGGAAGGUGGAGCCACCAGCCUCUCCCUGACAAGCAAAGUGGAUCAGCAAAGGCUGCAGUCACCAGCAUCUUUUCCAACCUUAAUGAACUGUAUCCUCAAAAGAACACUAUCAGACUGAUGAGGAAACUGAAUCCCAGAAUGGUGGAGUGAUUUGACGAAUAUUGCAAAACUAUAAUGGGGAGAUGAGAUGGGGAUCCAAGUCUUGUGCCCCCAAAGACAGGGCACCAGGCAGCGUAGAGGUGGCCAGUACCAGAGCAACAGCCUAACAAUGGCUCUGCCGACUUCCAGUUCUGGAACAAGAUGGUUAAACUCAUUUUUCCCUGCUCUGCUCCUCUAAAUACAACUAAGUACCUUGGAAACUAUUCAGCAGACAAUGAUAAAGGGCUCUGAAAGCUAGAAGAAAAGGUGUACUUGCAAGAAACCUCAGGACUUGAGUAACAGCAACAUGGCAGGCCAGAAAGCAGACCCAGGGAGGAUAGCACAUGUCUUCGGCUACACUGGUGAAGGCAUCGUGCCUGCUCCACAGCACAUUUUUAUUCAAGGAAAGGAGAAAGAGACUACCUACUGCAUUUCUGUCACUCGCUGAAAAGGACACUCUGUCAGAAAAUCUUCUAGCAAACUUCAAAGGGCAAAAUCACCCCUUGUUACUGAUAAAGCCCAGAGAGCUUCAGCAGCUAACAUUCCCUGGACAGGGCACAGCAAGGAUUUGAACCUAGGUCAGUCUGGCCAGAACACCCACAAGCUUUCCUUAACUCAGUGUGCUAUCUCCCCACGACUAGGUCACUACUGCUUUAUAAUCACCUUUGUAGCCACCAGUGGAUUUUGCUCAUCAGUAUUUUUCAGGCAAUUGAUACUUUAGAUAUUCAGCUGCAAGACGUAUGCAGUUUUCAUUGACAUCUUUUGGAGAAACUGACAAACCUGGACUUGACUUAAUGCCUUUGGAACCUUCCAAGAUGUUAUAUAACUCUAGAUAGAAGGCUGGGCCUCCAUGAUGUCAGGAAUGUUGCAUUCUUAUUUCCCCAUAGAUAAACCCAUUUGUCCACAAAGUCAAGGAGUCAGGCAGAGGCCCUUGCCAUGGGGCUUUUUAGGAUAAAGCAACAAGCCUGGACUUUGCUCUACAACAGGGUUUUGCAUAGGGAGUGGUAUGACCAGAUCCCUCAAGAAAGAAAGCUUAGAGACCAGGCCAGAGUCCACUGCAGUAGCCCAGUCAAGAGAGGAUGGUGACUUGGACUUGUAGUAGAGCCAGUUAGAAUGAAAGAAAUUGACACAUUCAGAAAUGGUUUUAGAGAUAGAGUCAAACUGGACCUGAUAAAGAACUAGAGAAGCGGAGUGAGGAUAAAGAGAAGAGCCAUGACUGACUCGGAAGAUUUUGUCUUGAAAAACUUGAGAACUCAAGACAGAGUGAAAUAAAAUCACAUGUGGGAAAAA
Long non-coding RNA from Homo sapiens (human), 1570 nucleotides. Ensembl annotates it as MIR4435-2 host gene. The record is from Ensembl. NCBI's taxonomy places the organism in Eukaryota, Metazoa, Chordata, Mammalia, Primates, Hominidae.